UUUUAAUGAAUUUUAUUAGCAAAUUAUGGUGGAAAAUAAGUAUUUGGUCAAUAACAAAAGUUUAUCUCAAUACUUUGUUAUAUACCCAUUGUUGGCAAUGACAGAGGUCAAACGUUUUCUGUAAGUCUUCACAAGGUUUUCACACACUGUUGCUGCCUCUCUCAUCUUUUUAAGUGGGAGAACUUGCACAAUUGGUGGCUGACUAAAUACUUUUUUUUGCCCCACUGUAAAUGUAGUCAGUUACGGUGCCAAGAGAAACAAACAGUGUUGAUGGAUUAAAUAUUAGCUUUUUAUUUGCUGAAAAAACAACGAUAACAAGAGAUCAAUGGUUAACACUGUUUCAACUAGAGAAAGACCAGACUGGAGCUCGAAACAGACAAUCUUUACAGGAAAUAACCUACAGAGAAUAACAGGAGAACAGUGUUAUGGCAAGGUGGAGAUGGAAGGGCUGUGUAGAGCUUGACUAGGGAGGAGUUGAGGAAUCAACACUCUCAUAAGGAAAGAAUCUAACUUGGCAUCAAAGUCACUGGGGGUAUUGAAGGCACUGGGGGUCAUUGGAGAAGAGAAAGGGAGAAGGGAUGGGAGAUAUAGGAGAAGGAAUGGGAGGGGGGGGGUAUAGGAGAAGGGAUGGGAGAUAUAGGAGAAGGGAUGGGAGAGGGGGGAUAUAGGAGAAGGGAUGGGAGAUAUAGGAGAAGGGAUGGGAGAGGGGGGAUAUAGGAGAAGGGAUGGGAGGGGCCACUGUGCUAUAGGGCUAAAGGUGAUAACAGAUUAACAAGACAUUCACUCACAUUUCUCCUGUUUCCUCUCAUUGUGCAACACAGUCAUUUCUUUUUUUACAACAGUCAAAUAACAUCAACAUAUACAUUUAUAUAAAACAAAUUCAUGAAUGUUAAUGUAUAAUGUUAAAAACAGUCCUUUAUAUCACUUGGUGUCUCUUCAGUUCCUUACCUGUGGUCCUACUGAGGUUGCCAGGACAACAGCACCACCAUGUGGUGAAAAGAACAACCAGCAGCGUGUGAUGUGUGGCAGUGUUUCUCAGUAAGGAUCCUGGGGACCCACUGUGUUUAGGCUGGCUCAGCAUCAAUUAAACACUAAUUAGUACAUGGACAACUGCAUGACGGGUCUGCAGUUUGUGCUACUGAAAGGGGCCUUGGAGCCCAGCACGGCUCAACAAAAAAUUCAGCCAAACAGUGCUGGUGUGGUUCGCUACAUUCCCUUUAUCUCAAAAACAUAAAACACAAAAAAACCACUGAACCAAUUAACAAAUAGUCAUUAAUAAUCAUAUUCAUGAGCGGAAUAAAAACAAUAACAAACUCAGUUCUACCAAGCUGUUUUUCUAGCUGAGGCAAGCCCGAAGAAGUCGCAGCCUGAUGAUGUCACUGAAUGUCUACUACAUCCCAGGAGCAGAAUGGUUUCUC
Oncorhynchus tshawytscha (Chinook salmon) is the source of this 1418-nucleotide long non-coding RNA. NCBI's taxonomy places the organism in Eukaryota, Metazoa, Chordata, Actinopteri, Salmoniformes, Salmonidae. The record is from Ensembl.